This 980-nucleotide long non-coding RNA is filed under the name Physcomitrium patens. RNAcentral describes it as "long non-coding RNA (PPAT_LNC005740)". Lineage: Eukaryota; Viridiplantae; Streptophyta; Bryopsida; Funariales; Funariaceae. The record is from RNAcentral.
GAUCGGCUAUAUCACGUUAGGGAAACUUGAACUACCCACACUUUCACCAGUCUUUUCUUUCAUGAGCAAUGAAAAAACUGGAAUGUAGUGCUGUAAGAGCAUCCUCGUCAUGAAAAAGUCGCAAACUAUGUGCUAGAAUCUAUAGGGGUAGUAAGAGGACGGGACAUGGCACAAACUCCGCUAGCAAAUUGCUAUCGAUGUGUUUAGCAUGGACAGCAUCCAUGCUUAACACUACCAAGUCCAUGUUCAUGUCAUCUGCCACCUCUCCGAUCACGACUGCAGGCCGCUUACCCUCUCCAAUCCUUUCCAUCAACUUGAACUCUGCAAAGCCACCUGUACGCAUAAUGAUGGCCAUUAUGAAUGAUUCAAGACAACACAGGUUGACAAAACGAAUAAACAACAAAUUUGAGCACACUGCAACAGAAUGAAGGCUUGUGAAACAUAUUUUAUCAGCACUGUACCUUCUGAUAGAUGCCAUCGUAUGUUCUUCAUACGAGUAUCGUGAUCCUCCUUUGACUCAGAACUGUCUUCAUCAAUUACUGGACACAGAAUCCAACAAUGGUCAAUAAUUACUUUAAAAGUACCCGAACUUGAAAAUCAAAUAAUUUUAUACUUUGCCCAGCCUUAGGAGCAAUAUCGUUUUGAGUUGUUCACAAGAGCUGGGCUUAUUUUAGUUCCAAAAAACUUACCAACAACAGUGAUCUCGGCCCCAAAUUUUGUAGCAAGAGCUGUCGUGGAGGCGGCCGCCUGUGGGGAAGAGUCAAAAGCAUUCCAUCAGCUAUCUCCUGAUGUGGGUACCCUUCGAGACUAGCAGCCAAAUAGAACAAAACUAGUACAAUAAAGUGUAAGGAAAAAGGGGGCAACCUGGCGGGUAGCUUCAGACAGAUAGGGGUUGCGAUCCAUAAUGAUAGGUAGUAAAACGCUCUUGAAAUUGGUUACUCCCGCGACAGCUACGCCAUCACUCGCAGACUGAGACUGGG